Molecule: ribosomal RNA, 497 nt
Filed under: uncultured bacterium
Lineage: Bacteria
Description: partial 16S ribosomal RNA
Rfam family: Bacterial small subunit ribosomal RNA
Source: RNAcentral
GAUGAACGCUGGCGGCGUGCCUAAUACAUGCAAGUCGAGCGAACAGACGAGGAGCUUGCUCCUCUGAUGUUAGCGGCGGACGGGUGAGUAACACGUGGAUAACCUACCUAUAAGACUGGGAUAACUUCGGGAAACCGGAGCUAAUACCGGAUAACAUGUUGAACCGCAUGGUUCAACAGUGAAAGACGGUCUUGCUGUCACUUAUAGAUGGAUCCGCGCCGCAUUAGCUAGUUGGUAAGGUAACGGCUUACCAAGGCAACGAUGCGUAGCCGACCUGAGAGGGUGAUCGGCCACACUGGAACUGAGACACGGUCCAGACUCCUACGGGAGGCAGCAGUAGGGAAUCUUCCGCAAUGGGCGAAAGCCUGACGGAGUAACGCCGCGUGAGUGAAGAAGGUCUUCGGAUCGUAAAACUCUGUUAUUAGGGAAGAACAAAUGUGUAAGUAACUAUGCACGUCUUGACGGUACCUAAUCAGAAAGCCACGGCUAACUACGUG